AAGAUGGCGGCGUUUGCACGGAGUGCAAUCACUGCGUCCUUACGGGGGUUGCAAGGCGUCCGAAGUAUGAGUCCAGUAACAAAAGGCCAGAAACUCGCCAGUUAAUAGUAUUGUGUCUCUUCAAAAUAUCGGAGAAUAAUUUCUUUCUCGCUGAUCGCCUAACUUCUACUGACGAAGCUAGGAAGUUGCAGAAGAAAUACAAAAAAAAUUCUAAAACUUGUAUGGAACUACAAAAGACAUUAAAUAAUCAAAGUAAUCUUGAGCAACAAGGACACAGCUGGAGGCAUCACUCUACCUGAUUUUGUAAUCCAUUAUCAAAAAACUGUGGUACCAGCAUAAAAGCAGAUUCACUGACCAGUGGAACAGGAAAGCCCAGACAUAACUCAUACAUUUCCAUCCAAUUGAUUUUUGACAAAAGUGGCACACAGAAUGGGGAGAGGAUAAAUAAAUAAAUUGUUUUGAGAUAUCUGUA
Molecule: long non-coding RNA, 472 nt
Filed under: Pan troglodytes (chimpanzee)
Lineage: Eukaryota; Metazoa; Chordata; Mammalia; Primates; Hominidae
Description: lincRNA
Rfam family: JPX transcript, XIST activator conserved region 2 (bases 127-195)
Source: RNAcentral